Molecule: ribosomal RNA, 252 nt
Filed under: uncultured bacterium
Lineage: Bacteria
Description: partial 16S ribosomal RNA
Rfam family: Bacterial small subunit ribosomal RNA
Source: RNAcentral
UACGUAGGUGGCGAGCGUUAUCCGGAAUGAUUGGGCGUAAAGGGUGCGUAGGCGGCCUGUUAAGUCUGAAGUGAAAGGUACCGGCUCAACCGGUACAGGCUUUGGAAACUGGCAGGCUGGAGGACAGGAGAGGGCGGUGGAACUCCAUGUGUAGCGGUAAAAUGCGUAGAUAUAUGGAAGAACACCAGUGGCGAAGGCGGCCGCCUGGCCUGUUACUGACGCUGAGGCACGAAAGCGUGGGGAGCAAAUAGG